GAUGAACGCUGGCGGCGUGCCUAAUACAUGCAAGUCGAGCGAACAGACGAGGAGCUUGCUCCUCUGACGUUAGCGGCGGACGGGUGAGUAACACGUGGAUAACCUACCUAUAAGACUGGGAUAACUUCGGGAAACCGGAGCUAAUACCGGAUAAUAUAUUGAACCGCAUGGUUCAAUAGUGAAAGACGGUUUUGCUGUCACUUAUAGAUGGAUCCGCGCCGCAUUAGCUAGUUGGUAAGGUAACGGCUUACCAAGGCAAGGAUGCGUAGCCGACCUGAGAGGGUGAUCGGCCACACGGGAACUGAGACACGGUCCAGACUCCUACGAGAGGCAGCAGUAGGGAAUGUUCCGCAAUGGGCGAAAGCCUGACGGAGCAACGCCGCGUGAGUGAUGAAGGUCUUCGGAUCGUAAAACUCUGUUAUUAGGGAAGAACAAAUGUGUAAGUAACUAUGCACGUCUUGACGGUACCUAAUCAGAAAGCCACGGCUAACUACGUG
RNAcentral lists this ribosomal RNA (497 nucleotides) under uncultured bacterium. Its description in RNAcentral is "partial 16S ribosomal RNA". It matches the Rfam family "Bacterial small subunit ribosomal RNA", at positions 28 to 507 of the family's 1533-position model. The record is from RNAcentral.